RNAcentral lists this ribosomal RNA (253 nucleotides) under uncultured bacterium. Its description in RNAcentral is "partial 16S ribosomal RNA". It matches the Rfam family "Bacterial small subunit ribosomal RNA", at positions 524 to 776 of the family's 1533-position model. The record is from RNAcentral.
UACGUAGGGUGCAAGCGUUAAUCGGAAUUACUGGGCGUAAAGGGCUCGUAGGCGGCCAACUAAGUCGGAUGUGAAAUCCCCAGGCUUAACCUGGGAACUGCAUCCGAUACUGGAUGGCUUGAAUCCGGGAGAGGGAUGCGGAAUUCCAGGUGUAGAGGUGAAAUUCGUAGAUAUCAAGCGGAACACCGGUGGCGAAGGCGGCCUUCUGGACAGUGACUGACGCUGAGACGCGAAAGCGUGGGGAGCAAACAGG